UUUAGAGGAUAACAGUUAUCAAAAAGAUUUUUCUUCAGUCUGUUAUCAUUUUCAAAUCUCUUUCUUUUAGAAAACACUUUAGUCCGGGUUCCUUGCCCAUUCCUCCUGCAGACAUCCUUCAUUGCAGAUCAGCUCAUUUCCAACCAGGCAUGCUGAAGCUUUUGCAAGAAACGAAGAUGAUAUUUUGGAAUGAAGGGUUGUUUUUAAGGCUCUUAUCUCUCCCCUCCGGUCUCGUACAAUAAUUCCCGAUACCGAUUUGUACCUGUUUGCAUCAAAAGCUACAUCAAAAAGUAUUAUGUCCUGCAUUCUCUCCUUCAUUUGUCUCUGUAUUUUGGCAGUCUUCCAUGUAUGUUUUUCCUUUCCCACUUCUUUAAGUUCAGCUAAAUAAGUCUGUAUUUUCUGUACUAGAUCCCUUCCUGAUACAAACUUUCUUUCAUGCACCAUUUGAUUUCGCGAGUUCCACAUCACCCAUAAGGCACAGCAAAACACCUGACACUGUUCCUUGGUUCCUUUUUUGAAGACCCAAGGCAUUGCUGGAAGACAUGGAGACUGUUCUCUUCCCCGGAGCCACAACGAGGGCAUCUCACAUUUGUGGUUAAUCGUUUGCAUCGAAGAUUGACUAGUGUAGGAAUAUAGUUCCAAGAUAUUCUCCAGGCCAAAAGUAGAAUUUUUGAUGGUAUUUGUAAGCUCCAUAAUUUUCUGUAGAAAUCUUUGAAAUCUGUCUGUAAUAAAUUACUAGGAUCCGAAUUAGCUUCUUGUAAUAGUUUAUAAGUGCUCAUUACUGAGAAUUCUCCGGACGGUUCUCCCUUCCAAACGAGCAUGUCUUCACUGUCUUUUUUGGCAAGUGGGAUCUGUAAAAUUUUUUGCGCAAUGUCUAUUUGAAAGGUUCGAUCCUUGGAAUCCACUGAUCAGUCCAAAUAGAUAUGUUGUUACCUUUCCCAACUCUCUAACAUAUCCCUUGAAUGAGAAGUCCCUUUGCAGCC
Gossypium raimondii (Peruvian cotton) is the source of this 983-nucleotide long non-coding RNA. RefSeq lists it as uncharacterized. NCBI's taxonomy places the organism in Eukaryota, Viridiplantae, Streptophyta, Magnoliopsida, Malvales, Malvaceae. The transcript has 4 exons. The record is from RefSeq and is a predicted model, not a curated record.